This 232-nucleotide ribosomal RNA is filed under the name uncultured Lactobacillus sp. RNAcentral describes it as "partial 16S ribosomal RNA". It matches the Rfam family "Bacterial small subunit ribosomal RNA", at positions 137 to 356 of the family's 1533-position model. Lineage: Bacteria; Bacillati; Bacillota; Bacilli; Lactobacillales; Lactobacillaceae. The record is from RNAcentral.
UCGGGAGUAACAACCUGGAAACAAGAAUGCUAAUACCGGAUAACAAACAGAUGAUGCCUAUCAACUGUUUAAAAGUAAUGGUUCUGCUAUCACUCUUGGAUGGACCUGCGGUGCAUUAGCUAGUUGGUAGGGUAACGGCCUACCAAGGCGAUGAUGCAUAGCCGAGUUGAGAGACUGAUCGGCCACAUUGGGACUGAGACACGGCCCAAAACUCCUACGGGAGGCAGCAGUG